RNAcentral lists this ribosomal RNA (304 nucleotides) under Escherichia coli. Its description in RNAcentral is "partial 16S ribosomal RNA". It matches the Rfam family "Bacterial small subunit ribosomal RNA", at positions 1 to 301 of the family's 1533-position model. The record is from RNAcentral. Lineage: Bacteria; Pseudomonadati; Pseudomonadota; Gammaproteobacteria; Enterobacterales; Enterobacteriaceae. RNAcentral also lists the same sequence under 1 other name.
AAAUUGAAGAGUUUGAUCAUGGCUCAGAUUGAACGCUGGCGGCAGGCCUAACACAUGCAAGUCGAACGGUAACAGGAAGCAGCUUGCUGCUUCGCUGACGAGUGGCGGACGGGUGAGUAAUGUCUGGGAAACUGCCUGAUGGAGGGGGAUAACUACUGGAAACGGUAGCUAAUACCGCAUAAUGUCGCAAGACCAAAGAGGGGGACCUUCGGGCCUCUUGCCAUCGGAUGUGCCCAGAUGGGAUUAGCUUGUUGGUGGGGUAACGGCUCACCAAGGCGACGAUCCCUAGCUGGUCUGAGAGGAU